GGUUGAAGGUUGGGUAACACUAACUGGAGGACCGAACCGACUAAUGUUGAAAAAUUAGCGGAUGACUUGUGGCUGGGGGUGAAAGGCCAAUCAAACCGGGAGAUAGCUGGUUCUCCCCGAAAGCUAUUUAGGUAGCGCCUCGUGAAUUCAUCUCCGGGGGUAGAGCACUGUUUCGGCAAGGGGGUCAUCCCGACUUACCAACCCGAUGCAAACUGCGAAUACCGGAGAAUGUUAUCACGGGAGACACACGGCGGGUGCUAACGUCCGUCGUGAAGAGGGAAACAACCCAGACCGCCAGCUAAGGUCCCAAAGUCAUGGUUAAGUGGGAAACGAUGUGGGAAGGCCCAGACAGCCAGGAUGUUGGCUUAGAAGCAGCCAUCAUUUAAAGAAAGCGUAAUAGCUCACUGGUCGAGUCGGCCUGCGCGGAAGAUGUAACGGGGCUAAACCAUGCACCGAAGCUGCGGCAGCGACACUAUGUGUUGUUGGGUAGGGGAGCGU
This 498-nucleotide ribosomal RNA is filed under the name Escherichia coli. RNAcentral's name for it is "partial 23S ribosomal RNA". It matches the Rfam family "Bacterial large subunit ribosomal RNA", at positions 743 to 1239 of the family's 2925-position model. Lineage: Bacteria; Pseudomonadati; Pseudomonadota; Gammaproteobacteria; Enterobacterales; Enterobacteriaceae. The record is from RNAcentral.